RNAcentral lists this long non-coding RNA (1329 nucleotides) under Marmota monax (woodchuck). Lineage: Eukaryota; Metazoa; Chordata; Mammalia; Rodentia; Sciuridae. The record is from RNAcentral.
CGUUGAAGUUGUCACAUUCAGUCUAAUAACGUGUCUUUCUUGAAUUUUCAUAUGGUCUAUUGUGUUCACAUAUGGUGUUAAAAAGAAAGUUAUGAACCAAGAUGUUAGUGAAGGCUUCCUCACAUAAGAAUAGCAGUCAUCGAAUUCAAAAUCCCAGGGAUGUAAAUGCCCUCCGCUUUGGUGAGUGCCCUCGCAGCCUGGCACAUUUCAGCGAAUCCAGGGGCUGGAGUGGAGGAGGUGUAAUUAGGCUGAUUGGAGCCUAUUGUGCUGCUCUGCGGCGCGCGGGACAGGAGCAGCCUCCGGGACAGGAGCAGCCUCCGGGAGUGUGAGUGCCUCAGGAUCACUGGGGAAUGAUGUCCUCUUUCCUCAAAAUAACGGAGCAGAAAUACUGAAGCUACACUGUUUCUCCCCUUCUUUGUUUUUCCAACACCCCCCCCCGCGCCAAAUUAAUUGUGAUCCUUAUCCCGAACCCUAAAAACUGACUUUUAUUGUGCAUUUGUUUCUUAACAGUUGCGAGAAACAAUCAAAGCUGGCAAAGGUGUGACUUCAGCUAUUGACCUGUGUCGUUACCAUGGAAACAAGGCACUGGAGGCCCUGGAGAGCUUCCCUCCCUCGGAGGCCAGAUCGGCUUUAGAAAACAUUGUGUUUGCUGUGACCAGAUUUUCAUGACACCAAAUUAAAAAGACCCUAUUGUUCCUUAGCUGAAAAACCUAGGGAAUGAGGUGAUUGGAAGAGCUUUUGUGAGGAAAUAUCUAAACGUGUUUAUGAUUUUAAAAUAUACACAUUUUCCCCCUUCCUUUUAUCACAUUGCUAAAAUGAAUACUGCCUUCAUUUUGGAACUGCUACAAACAAAAUUAGAAGGAAAAAAAAAAAGGUCAAGCAGUUUUCACUUGUCACGCCAGAAGCACACUUGAGGCUGCAGCAGCAGAAAUAAUUAAUGAGAUUCGCUCCUGUGACCUCAGCAAAUGGACAGGAAAUAAGUCCUUAUUGAUUGGACCGAGCCACGGAUGGCGCCAGGGCGGUGGCCUGUGGUUUUCCUUCUAGAGAGGACAGAGCAAGCUGGAAGCUGCAGGUGUCAAGAGAAACACUCUGGAUCCCAGCCAGGAAGGAUUGUCAAAUCAGAAACCACUGAUCCAUCUGUCAAAAUGGAGAAGAGUUCAGUGAAUUAAGAAAAAAUAUGCUUUCUUUGUCAUCUUGCAAUUAUGUCUCUAUUUAUAGAUACAAUAUGAAUAUUUGGAAUAUCAUGGUUUUUAUAAGAUUUGGGGGUAGGAGGGAAAUUGCUGAAAAAGUUGCCAAAUAUUUAAAGUAGGAGAUUAAAUGUUAUCUUGG